Molecule: ribosomal RNA, 461 nt
Filed under: uncultured bacterium
Lineage: Bacteria
Description: partial 16S ribosomal RNA
Rfam family: Bacterial small subunit ribosomal RNA
Source: RNAcentral
CCUACGGGUGGCAGCAGUGAGGAAUAUUGGUCAAUGGGCGAGAGCCUGAACCAGCCAAGUCGCGUGAAGGAUGACGGCCCUACGGGUUGUAAACUUCUUUUGUCAGGGAGCAAUUGGGUCCACGCGUGGGCUUAGCGAGAGUACCUGAAGAAAAAGCAUCGGCUAACUCCGUGCCAGCAGCCGCGGUAAUACGGAGGAUGCGAGCGUUAUCCGGAUUUAUUGGGGUUAAAGGGUGCGUAGGCGGAAUAUCAAGUCAGCGGUAAAAAUUGCGGGGCUCAACCCCGUACUGCCGUUGAAACUGGAUCCCUUGAGUGCGCGAGAAGUAUGCGGAAUGCGUGGUGUAGCGGUGAAAUGCAUAGAUAUCACGCAGAACUCCGAUUGCGAAGGCAGCAUACCGGCGCGCAACUGACGCUCAUGCACGAAAGCGUGGGUAUCGAACAGGAUUAGAUACCCUUGUAGUC